This 467-nucleotide ribosomal RNA is filed under the name Trichodon trichodon. RNAcentral's name for it is "partial 12S rRNA". It matches the Rfam family "Bacterial small subunit ribosomal RNA", at positions 866 to 1533 of the family's 1533-position model. The record is from RNAcentral. Lineage: Eukaryota; Metazoa; Chordata; Actinopteri; Perciformes; Trichodontidae.
UAUCCGCCAGGGAACUACAAGCAAUAGCUUAAAACCCAAAGGACUUGGCGGUGCUUUAGAUCCACCUAGAGGAGCCUGUUCUGGAACCGAUAACCCCCGUUCAACCUCACCCUUCCUUGUUCUUCCCGCCUAUAUACCGCCGUCGUCAGCUUACCCUGUGAAGGUUUAAUAGUGAGCAAAACUGGCACAGCCCAGGACGUCAGGUCGAGGUGUAGCGUAUGGAGGGGGAAGAAAUGGGCUACAUUCGCUACCACAGCGAACACGAAACGUGUAAUGAAACGUACAUCUGAAGGAGGAUUUAGCAGUAAGCAGGAAAUAGAGCGUCCCGCUGAAAUUGGCCCUGAAGCGCGCACACACCGCCCGUCACUCUCCCCAAAAACAACCACCAGUUAAUUAAAACCUAAUAAUACUAAAGGGGAGGCAAGUCGUAACAUGGUAAGUGUACCGGAAGGUGCACUUGGAAAAAU